Bos mutus (wild yak) is the source of this 481-nucleotide long non-coding RNA. Lineage: Eukaryota; Metazoa; Chordata; Mammalia; Artiodactyla; Bovidae. The record is from Ensembl.
CUUUUGAACUCCGCCGCUCGCUGUCUGGCUCUCCCCUCUCGGCCCGGUGCACCUCUCUCCACCCUCCCCCUCGCACCCUCCUGGCCGGCGCGCUUGCCAGCGCGCUCGCUCGCUCGCUCUCCCGCGACCCGACGAGUCCUCAACAAGUUGGAGGAAGGCAGGAACGCAGGGGUUAAGCUCGGAGAGCCGCAAUUACCAAGAUCGUGACCCUCCCACACAGUACAGUAACUUAUAUACUUACCUGGAAGAGCCCGCUCUACCGCUGGGCCAACACCCGUUGGGGGCGGGGAAGGGCGGGAGGGGAGCGGGCCGGUUGGAGAGGGGCUCCUCCAACGCUGGCUGCAGUGCGGACCGGACCGGCGCGCUCCAGGGACCUGGGGACCCAGGUAGUCAAACCUGCCCUGACACCUGGACGUCUGCAUGAGGGGUGGUCACUGAAGGAGGAGUUGUCAGAGGCCAUAGGAGCUAAAGAGUCUGUGCA